Molecule: ribosomal RNA, 265 nt
Filed under: uncultured bacterium
Lineage: Bacteria
Description: partial 16S ribosomal RNA
Rfam family: Bacterial small subunit ribosomal RNA
Source: RNAcentral
GGCGAACGGGUGAGUAAUACAUAAGUAACCUGCCCUAGACAGGGGGAUAACUAUUGGAAACGAUAGCUAAGACCGCAUAGGUACGGACACUGCAUGGUGACCGUAUUAAAAGUGCCUCAAAGCACUGGUAGAGGAUGGACUUAUGGCGCAUUAGCUGGUUGGCGGGGUAACGGCCCACCAAGCCUUCGAUGGAUAGGGGUUCUGAGAGGAAGGUCCCCCACAUUGGAACUGAGACACGGUCCAAACUCCUACGGGAGGCAGCAUG